RNAcentral lists this transfer RNA (71 nucleotides) under Smyrna blomfildia. RNAcentral's name for it is "tRNA-Lys". The record is from RNAcentral. Lineage: Eukaryota; Metazoa; Arthropoda; Insecta; Lepidoptera; Nymphalidae.
CAUUAGAUGACUGAAAGUAAGUACUGGUCUCUUAAACCAUUUCAUGGUAAAUUAACAACUACCUCUAAUGA